GACGAACGCUGGCGGCGUGCCUAAUACAUGCAAGUAGAACGCUGAAGAGAGGAGCUUACUCUUCUUGGAUGGGUUGCGAACGGGUGAGUAACGCGUAGGUAACCUGCCUUGUAGCGGGGGAUAACUAUUGGAAACGAUAGCUAAUACCGCAUAACAAUGGAUGACACAUGUCAUUUAUUUGAAAGGGGCAAUUGCUCCACUACAAGAUGGACCUGCGUUGUAUUAGCUAGUAGGUGAGGUAAUGGCUCACCUAGGCGACGAUACAUAGCCGACCUGAGAGGGUGAUCGGCCACACUGGGACUGAGACACGGCCCAGACUCCUACGGGAGGCAGCAGUAGGGAAUCUUCGGCAAUGGGGGCAACCCUGACCGAGCAACGCCGCGUGAGUGAAGAAGGUUUUCGGAUCGUAAAGCUCUGUUGUAAGUCAAGAACGGGUGUGAGAGUGGAAAGUUCACACUGUGACGGUAGCUUACCAGAAAGGGACGGCUAACUACGGG
This 497-nucleotide ribosomal RNA is filed under the name uncultured bacterium. RNAcentral describes it as "partial 16S ribosomal RNA". It matches the Rfam family "Bacterial small subunit ribosomal RNA", at positions 28 to 507 of the family's 1533-position model. The record is from RNAcentral.